This 745-nucleotide ribosomal RNA is filed under the name uncultured bacterium. RNAcentral's name for it is "bacterial SSU rRNA". It matches the Rfam family "Bacterial small subunit ribosomal RNA", at positions 33 to 773 of the family's 1533-position model. The record is from RNAcentral.
ACGCUGGCGGCAGGCCUAACACAUGCAAGUCGAGCGGUAGAGAGAAGCUUGCUUCUCUUGAGAGCGGCGGACGGGUGAGUAAUGCCUAGGAAUCUGCCUGGUAGUGGGGGAUAACGUCCGGAAACGGACGCUAAUACCGCAUACGUCCUACGGGAGAAAGCAGGGGACCUUCGGGCCUUGCGCUAUCAGAUGAGCCUAGGUCGGAUUAGCUGGUUGGUGGGGUAAUGGCUCACCAAGGCGACGAUCCGUAACUGGUCUGAGAGGAUGAUCAGUCACACUGGAACUGAGACACGGUCCAGACUCCUACGGGAGGCAGCAGUGGGGAAUAUUGGACAAUGGGCGAAAGCCUGAUCCAGCCAUGCCGCGUGUGUGAAGAAGGUCUUCGGAUUGUAAAGCACUUUAAGUUGGGAGGAAGGGCAGUAAAUUAAUACUUUGCUGUUUUGACGUUACCGACAGAAUAAGCACCGGCUAACUCUGUGCCAGCAGCCGCGGUAAUACAGAGGGUGCAAGCGUUAAUCGGAAUUACUGGGCGUAAAGCGCGCGUAGGUGGUUCGUUAAGUUGGAUGUGAAAUCCCCGGGCUCAACCUGGGAACUGCAUUCAAAACUGACGAGCUAGAGUAUGGUAGAGGGUGGUGGAAUUUCCUGUGUAGCGGUGAAAUGCGUAGAUAUAGGAAGGAACACCAGUGGCGAAGGCGACCACCUGGACUGAUACUGACACUGAGGUGCGAAAGCGUGGGGAGCAAAC